Non-coding RNA from Hydra vulgaris (swiftwater hydra), 882 nucleotides. The record is from RefSeq and is a predicted model, not a curated record. NCBI's taxonomy places the organism in Eukaryota, Metazoa, Cnidaria, Hydrozoa, Anthoathecata, Hydridae.
UUCUUUACAGUUUUUGGCGUUACACAAAAACCCUAUAAUUGUCUUGAACUUUACUUGUUUAUACAUUUUUUUAAGGUUAAGCAUGAAACUUGAGAUUUUUUGCAUUAUUUAGUUUAAAUCUACCUCUUCUCAACCAUAUAUAGGAAGUACUAUUUACUACUUUAUAUACUAUUUUUAUGGCUUCACUUAUAUAUUUUACUUUUCAGAGUUUCAGAAAAAAAUUUAUAUUCAAACUUGCUGAAAUGAAAAAAAUUUUAAUAGAUAGAACUGCACUGUUCUCCAAUUAUCCAGAAGAAGGUUUUAAACAACGUAAAAGUUCAGAUAAACUUAAUGUUUUAAAUAAGAUAUUUGCAAAUGGAGAUAUCCAAUACAUCACUUUUGUAAAACAGUUGUAUUAAUUGGCGGUAAAAAUCUAACUGAUACAAUUAAAAAUAUUUCGCUCUUGUAAGUAAUUAGCAAAAGUUUAUGUUGAAUUUGAACAUUUAUAACAGUACAGCAUUUAUCUUCUUUUUUAUAUAUGUAGACUGUCAACAGACACUAUUUUGUCAGAAUACAGCAUGAAUUGUCUAAAGAAGAAAAAAAAGUUUAAAGAGUUGACAUGUCUAUGUUACGCUGUCACUGAAGCUGCUUUAAAGUCAAAUAAAAACUUAACCAAAAUGGAUGCCAUCCAACUUAUUGGGAGAGUAAUUAGGCAUUCUUCUGACCGAAUAAAGAGAACAUCGACUAAUAUGAAUUUUGAUCAAUAAUGGCUUAAUUAACUGUUGUAUUUUUUUUUUUUUUUUCCAUUUUUAAGCAAUUUUCUUCUAUUAAUAAUGCACUAUCGAUUAUAUUCUACAGUACCUAUUAUUUUUUAAUUUGAAAAAUGUAACUUUGUUUGAAAAA